RNAcentral lists this ribosomal RNA (497 nucleotides) under uncultured bacterium. Its description in RNAcentral is "partial 16S ribosomal RNA". It matches the Rfam family "Bacterial small subunit ribosomal RNA", at positions 28 to 507 of the family's 1533-position model. The record is from RNAcentral.
GAUGAACGCUGGCGGCGUGCCUAAUACAUGCAAGUCGAGCGAACGGACGAGAAGCUUGCUUCUCUGAUGUUAGCGGCGGACGGGUGAGUAACACGUGUAUAACCUACCUAUAAGACUGGGAUAACUUCGGGAAACCGGAGCUAAUACCGGAUAAUAUUUUGAACCGCAUGGUUCAAAAGUGAAAGACGGUCUUGCUGUCACUUAUAGAUGGAUCCGCGCUGCAUUAGCUAGUUGGUAAGGUAACGGCUUACCAAGCCAACGAUGCAUAGCCGACCUGAGAGGGUGAUCGGCCACACUGGAACUGAGACACGGUCCAGACUCCUACGGGAGGCAGCAGUAGGGAAUCUUCCGCAAUGGGCGAAAGCCUGACGGAGCAACGCCGCGUGAGUGAUGAAGGUCUUCGGAUCGUAAAACUCUGUUAUUAGGGAAGAACAUAUGUGUAAGUAACUGUGCACAUCUUGACAGUACCUAAUCAGAAAGCCACGGCUAACUACGUG